RNAcentral lists this transfer RNA (75 nucleotides) under Chloroflexota bacterium. RNAcentral describes it as "Chloroflexi bacterium (mine drainage metagenome) tRNA-Thr". It matches the Rfam family "tRNA". From Rfam's summary of the family: Transfer RNA (tRNA) molecules are approximately 80 nucleotides in length. Their secondary structure includes four short double-helical elements and three loops (D, anti-codon, and T loops). Lineage: Bacteria; Bacillati; Chloroflexota. The record is from RNAcentral.
GCCGGUGUAGCUCAGUGGUAGAGCAGCUGUCUUGUAAACAGCAGGUCGUCGGUUCAAGCCCGACCACCGGCUCCA